This is a long non-coding RNA of Arachis stenosperma, 272 nucleotides long. RefSeq lists it as uncharacterized. Lineage: Eukaryota; Viridiplantae; Streptophyta; Magnoliopsida; Fabales; Fabaceae. The transcript is spliced from 3 exons. The record is from RefSeq and is a predicted model, not a curated record.
GUCGAUUUGGAGUUGCUGCGAUUGGAGCCACUAGCGGGGAAAUUCAAUGGGUUCAUGAGGAUAGAAUUACAUUGUUCACCGCUGAUGGACUGGUGCAGAUUGGAGGCUCUAUCACCCCUCGCCAUGUUAGCUCUUCAGAUGUUUAUUUGCCUACAAAUUCAUACACUAUAGAAGGAGAAAAGAUGUAUAUCAUGUUAUGGGGUAUUGUGCAUGCAUGGCCAAAGGUGCAGCUGAGACACUUAAAUUGAACAUGGCUAUUAUCUUGUUACCAG